AACGAACGCUGGCGGCAGGCCUAACACAUGCAAGUCGAACGCCGUAGCAAUACGGAGUGGCAGACGGGUGAGUAACGCGUGGGAACCUACCUUACGGUCGGGAAUAGCUCAGGGAAACUUGGGGUAAUACCGGAUAAGCCCUUACGGGGAAAGAUUUAUCGCCGUUAGAUGGGCCCGCGUAGGAUUAGCUAGUUGGUGAGGUAAUGGCUCACCAAGGCGACGAUCCUUAGCUGGUCUGAGAGGAUGAUCAGCCACACUGGGACUGAGACACGGCCCAGACUCCUACGGGAGGCAGCAGUGGGGAAUAUUGGACAAUGGGCGCAAGCCUGAUCCAGCCAUGCCGCGUGAGUGACGAAGGCCUUAGGGUUGUAAAGCUCUUUUGGCGGGGAAGAUAAUGACGGUACCCGCAGAAUAAGCUCCGGCUAACUUCGUGCCAGCAGCCGCGGUAAAAUCACGUGUAC
Molecule: ribosomal RNA, 461 nt
Filed under: uncultured bacterium
Lineage: Bacteria
Description: bacterial SSU rRNA
Rfam family: Bacterial small subunit ribosomal RNA
Source: RNAcentral